UUUUGACUAUUAACGUAGAUUCGAAUUUAAAAUCUCAUGUUCUAAUCAACCGUCUCCAACACAAAAGAUACAGGACUUGAUAUUUAGUAUUCGAAAGCAGUACAUUUAGGCUUCGUUUGGGAUUGUAGAGAUAUUUCGUUAUGUGCUGUAAGAAACGACGAUAGAAAAAUAUCCUGUUUGUUUCCGUGCGUAAUAUUGUGUUUCAUAUAUUGCAGUUAGUCGGUUACGAUAUAUUUUUUACGGUUCUAUCGGAGAACGCAGAAGUAUAUCUCUAUAUAUUUUUUCUCAACUCCAUUCUAUCUAAUAGUGUUAGAUAGAUCUCAAUACCACAUUAAGGCUUAGUAUUUAUAUUUAAUAAUAUUGAAUAAUUGCGAGCUUUC
Molecule: long non-coding RNA, 380 nt
Filed under: Ananas comosus (pineapple)
Lineage: Eukaryota; Viridiplantae; Streptophyta; Magnoliopsida; Poales; Bromeliaceae
Description: long non-coding RNA (ACOM_LNC027413)
Source: RNAcentral